RNAcentral lists this ribosomal RNA (251 nucleotides) under uncultured bacterium. RNAcentral's name for it is "partial 16S ribosomal RNA". It matches the Rfam family "Bacterial small subunit ribosomal RNA", at positions 81 to 334 of the family's 1533-position model. The record is from RNAcentral.
UAGAAGAUGGCGACCGGCGCACGGGUGAGUAACACGUAUCCAACCUGCCGAUAACUCGGGGAUAGCCUUUCGAAAGAAAGAUUAAUACCCGAUGGCAUAAUAGAACCGCAUGGUUUGAUUAUUAAAGAAUUUCGGUUAUCGAUGGGGAUGCGUUCCAUUAGGCAGUUGGUGGGGUAACGGCCCACCAAACCUUCGAUGGAUAGGGGUUCUGAGAGGAAGGUCCCCCACAUUGGAACUGAGACACGGUCCAA